CCUACGGGAGGCAGCAGUGAGGAAUAUUGGUCAAUGGGCGCGAGCCUGAACCAGCCAAGUCGCGUGAGGGAAGACGGUCCUAUGGAUUGUAAACCUCUUUUGUCGGGGAGCAAAAGACGCCACGCGUGGCGUUACGAGAGUACCAGAACAAAAAGCAUCGGCUAACUCCGUGCCAGCAGCCGCGGUAAUACGGAGGAUGCGGGCGUAAUCCGGUUUUAUUGGGUUUAGAGGGUGAGCAGGCGGAAGACAAAGUCAGCGGUAAAAUUGGGAGGCUCAACCUCUUAGAGCCUUUGAAACUGGUUAUCUUGAGUGAGCGAGAAGUAUGCGGAAUUCGUGGUGUAGCGGUGAAAUGCGUAGAUAUUAGGAGGAACACCAGUGGCGAAGGCGGCUUACUGGACUGUAACUGACGUUGAGGCUCGAAAGCGUGGGGAGCAAACAGGAUUAGAUACCCCAGUAGUC
This 459-nucleotide ribosomal RNA is filed under the name uncultured bacterium. Its description in RNAcentral is "partial 16S ribosomal RNA". It matches the Rfam family "Bacterial small subunit ribosomal RNA", at positions 338 to 795 of the family's 1533-position model. The record is from RNAcentral.